Molecule: small nucleolar RNA, 127 nt
Gene: SNORA71
Rfam family: Small nucleolar RNA SNORA71
About the family: The members of this family belong to the H/ACA class of snoRNAs which bind a number of proteins (including dyskerin, Gar1p and Nop10p) to form snoRNP complexes. This class of snoRNAs are thought to guide the sites of modification of uridines to pseudouridines by forming direct base pairing interactions with substrate RNAs.
Source: Ensembl
CCCUGUAUCGAAAGUGGUCGUGGCGUGAUUGUUGCCAGAUCAUUGAUAUUGCAGGAAGAGUGAACUGAAAGUCUUUCCCGUGUUUGCUGGAUCCCCUGUUCCUGACAAACGCUGUAUCUUUCAAACA